GGGCCUAUAGUUUAGUGGUAAAACGGUGCAUUCGCAUUGCACAGACGGGAGUUCGAUUCUCCCUAGGUCCA
RNAcentral lists this transfer RNA (71 nucleotides) under bacterium. Its description in RNAcentral is "tRNA-Ala". It matches the Rfam family "tRNA". From Rfam's summary of the family: Transfer RNA (tRNA) molecules are approximately 80 nucleotides in length. Their secondary structure includes four short double-helical elements and three loops (D, anti-codon, and T loops). RNAcentral also lists the same sequence under 1 other name. The record is from RNAcentral.